Molecule: non-coding RNA, 107 nt
Filed under: Peptococcaceae bacterium
Lineage: Bacteria; Bacillati; Bacillota; Clostridia; Eubacteriales; Peptococcaceae
Description: SAM-I sequence
Rfam family: SAM riboswitch aptamer (S box leader)
About the family: The SAM riboswitch is found upstream of a number of genes which code for proteins involved in methionine or cysteine biosynthesis in Gram-positive bacteria. The SAM riboswitch acts at the level of transcription termination control. The predicted structure consists of a complex stem-loop region followed by a single stem loop terminator region.
Source: RNAcentral
UCCUCAUCGAGAGUGGUGGAGGGACUGGCCCGAUGAAACCCGGCAACCGGAGCUUGCUCCAUGGUGCCAAAUCCUGCAGGACCAUCAGUGGUUCUGAGAGAUGAGAG